GACGAACGCUGGCGGCGUGCUUAACACAUGCAAGUCGAACGAUGAAGCCUUUCGGGGUGGAUUAGUGGCGAACGGGUGAGUAACACGUGGGUAAUCUGCCCUGCACUCUGGGAUAAGCCCGGGAAACUGGGUCUAAUACCGGAUAUGACUUUCUUACGCAUGUAGGAAGGUGGAAAGUUCCGGCGGUGCAGGAUGAACCCGCGGCCUAUCAGCUUGUUGGUGGGGUAAGUGGCCUACCAAGGCGACGACGGGUAGCCGGCCUGAGAGGCGACCGGUCACACUGGGACUGAGACACGGCCCAGACUCCCACGGGUAGGCAGCAGUGGGGAAUAUUGCACAAUGGGCGAAAGCCUGAUGCAGCGACGCCGCGUGAGGGAUGACGGCCU
Molecule: ribosomal RNA, 386 nt
Filed under: uncultured bacterium
Lineage: Bacteria
Description: bacterial SSU rRNA
Rfam family: Bacterial small subunit ribosomal RNA
Source: RNAcentral